GACGAACGCUGGCGGCGUGCUUAACACAUGCCAGUCGAACGGAAAGGCCAGUGCUUGCACUGGUACUCGAGUGGCGAACGGGUGAGUAACACGUGGGUGAUCUGCCUUGCACUCUGGGAUAAGCUUGGGAAACUGGGUCUAAUACCGGAUACGAACUGCCUUUAGUGUGGUGGUUGGAAAGUUUUUUCGGUGCAAGAUGAGCUCGCGGCCUAUCAGCUUGUUGGUGGGGUAAUGGCCUACCAAGGCGUCGACGGGUAGCCGGCCUGAGAGGGUGUACGGCCACAUUGGGACUGAGAUACGGCCCAGACUCCUACGGGAGGCAGCAGUGGGGAAUAUUGCACAAUGGGCGGAAGCCUGAUGCAGCGACGCCGCGUGGGGGAUGACGGCCUUCGGGUUGUAAACUCCUUUCGACAGGGACGAAGCGUAAGUGACGGUACCUGUAUAAGAAGCACCGGCUAACUACGUG
Molecule: ribosomal RNA, 466 nt
Filed under: uncultured bacterium
Lineage: Bacteria
Description: partial 16S ribosomal RNA
Rfam family: Bacterial small subunit ribosomal RNA
Source: RNAcentral